GCCUCAUUGGCUCAGGGGCAGAGCGUCUGUCUAGUAAACAGAAGGUCGAUGGUUCGAUUCCAGCAUGAGGCA
RNAcentral lists this transfer RNA (72 nucleotides) under Necator americanus (New World hookworm). It matches the Rfam family "tRNA". From Rfam's summary of the family: Transfer RNA (tRNA) molecules are approximately 80 nucleotides in length. The record is from Rfam by way of RNAcentral. Lineage: Eukaryota; Metazoa; Nematoda; Chromadorea; Rhabditida; Ancylostomatidae.